UGGGCUCCAGGCCUCCAACCCAGACGUGAGAAAUAUGGCCUCAUACUUCAUCGAUCCCACAACCACAUGGCACCGCUUCCCCUCCCCUUCUCGCUUGCUCCUCCGACGGCGCCGCUUCCCGACUUCCGGCGGCGAGCAGCCGGGCUGCGGAUGCGCCCUCGCUGGCCCAGGACGAUCUGGGACCCACGGGCGUAGUCUCCGCGGCAUCGGCGACGGCAACGGCGGCCGGCCGGCGGGAAGCUUUAGCUCCGGCCAGAUUGACGGCGCCCUCGCCGCCGGCUUCCGUGGAGAGCAGGUCGCUACCCAGAGUAGGUGUUGGUCAUAUGGUGUACAUCCCUGGUUUGACAAACCUGCUCCUUGAGUUCAGCGAACAUGUAAGCAACAUAACUUGUUUGAAGCUGCAUAUUCCAUAUAUAUUAUUUGAAGUUGCUGUAAUGCAUUUGUAAAAUAACUUGAAUUGUUCUCUUAGCUACAUAUAAAUAGCACAGAGAAUAGAUAAGUGCUUCAGAGAAUAAGGGUUCCAAGAGAUGAUGUAAUAAAGAUGGGGUCAACGUGGUUCCCUAAUUUUGGGGUACUUCGCUGACUUGGGCAACCCCAGGUACUUUAGUUUGGCUGACAAGCACGCCAGAACUGAGUUGCUACUAGUAGUGACUGGGUGACACCAACAUUGAUCUCACUGUUGUCUUCAGCCUUGGAAUUACUGAGUUUAUCAUGAUGUGAAAAUUGUGGCAUUUACUUGAAUUUGUGGUUCUUUUGUCGAGGGUGAUCUUCUCAAGGAUCUGAAUUUUGCACAAGUGACAAGUCAAAUGUUCUUGGGUUGUGCAAGCGGACUGCUGAUACAAACUGUUUUCAAUAAAAGCACAUAUGUUGCACACUUCACUUUUACACCCAUAGGUCCUCACAUCUUCCUAAUUAAGAUUUGAUAUCUUAGGAGAUAGUUCAAGCACUCGUCAAUAUAUGUGCAGUGGUGAAGUGUAUACCCUCCAAUCCUUGAAAUUUACUCAUCUUAUUUAAAUGUGUGUUUUACGAUGCAA
Molecule: non-coding RNA, 1034 nt
Organism: Oryza sativa Japonica Group (Japanese rice)
Lineage: Eukaryota; Viridiplantae; Streptophyta; Magnoliopsida; Poales; Poaceae
Source: RefSeq, a predicted model, not a curated record